CCUACGGGAGGCUGCAGUGGGGGAUUUUGCGCAAUGGGGGAAACCCUGACGCAGCGACGCCGUGUGAGUGAUGAAGGCUUUCGGGUCGUAAAGCUCUGUCAGGUGGGAAGAAAUAUCCUGAUAUGAAUAGUAUCGGGGUUUGACGGUACCACCAAAGGAAGCACCGGCUAACUCCGUGCCAGCAGCCGCGGUAAUACGGAGGGUGCAAGCGUUGUUCGGAAUUAUUGGGCGUAAAGAGCGUGUAGGCGGCUGAAUAAGUCAGAUGUGAAAUCCCUCGGCUCAACCGAGGAACUGCAUUUGAAACUGUUCAGCUUGAGUACGGGAGAGGAGAGUGGAAUUCCUGGUGUAGCGGUGAAAUGCGUAGAUAUCAGGAGGAACACCGGUGGCGAAGGCGGCUCUCUGGCCCGAUACUGACGCUGAGGCGCGAAAGCGUGGGGAGCAAACAGGAUUAGAUACCCCUGUAGUCC
Molecule: ribosomal RNA, 467 nt
Filed under: Escherichia coli
Lineage: Bacteria; Pseudomonadati; Pseudomonadota; Gammaproteobacteria; Enterobacterales; Enterobacteriaceae
Description: bacterial SSU rRNA
Rfam family: Bacterial small subunit ribosomal RNA
Source: RNAcentral